GAAGAAGCAGGAAGUUUGAAGAAAAGUGGACCCAAGUGGAGCGCUGGUUAUUUACCAAACUGAGCAGCACACGUUCUUUGUGACUGUGUGCUGCAUGCAGUAGAUGUACAAUAAAGACAACUGAUUGAAGAUGAUUACAUGGGUCAAGAUGAAGUCACCAGUAAUGAGAAGCUGGGAAGAGUGGGAGAAGUGCUUAGUACAGUGCAUUGUACACAAAAGCUGGUUGGCCAAGAGGAAUUCAGGGCUUUAAGAAGAGAACCUGAAAGCAUCCAAAGUUCACUUUUUCCCCACUGCUUUUGUACCUGAAGGAACAAGGAACAAGAAAAGGACAUCUUUUGAGAACUAAAACAGGUUCCCUUGUGGCGGAACAUGUACCGGAUGAGGAACACGAGAGUGCAAAGGAUGGUGAAGAUCACCACGGCGAUCACGCCUGUCGGAGAGAGAGAGAAGCCCCAGACAGAACUCACACGGCCGCGUACCUUGAAGGAACCGACCAGCCGGACCGUUGCCGGAGAAACUCGUCAACGACCUCUCCAACUGGAACUACUCCCCUCCAGAAACAGUCUCCUGCGAGCAGAUGGUCUCUGUGAGCAGGGAAAAAGUCACUAGGACGCUCUCUGUGAGCCGGGAAUACGUCACCACGUUGCGAUGCAUCUCCCGGGAGUCCAGCCCAACGCACCGCACCAAGUGGGUCUUCGAUAAAUGCUACUUCCGCCACUGAGCCCCGGGCCAGCUCUGGGCUACCUCAGCCGGAGCUGCCGAGCCAACUAGAUGGCUGGGACUCAUUAUGGGACGUGUUUUCUGGCUGUAUCCUGCUCACUGUACUCUCUCAGGUACUCGGCACAGUGUCCUGUGAUGCUAAGUGUUAAAUAAAAAACAUUUGGUGGCUCAUUGAUUCUCUGCACCUCCCUGCCCUUUCAAGGGUUUUCCAGUUGAUCCAAUGGGAGGGAGCUCUUUCCCCCUAUCCCGGCUUGUCCAUGAGCUACAGUAGUACCGCCCCCGCCCGCAGUCUCUGCAAGUGCUGGUGACCUCGGAGACCGGACACGCCCCUGACUUGCCCCCGACACGCCUCCGGACAUGCCCCGGACACGUCACCCAGAUAUGCCUCCGGAUAUGCCUCUGGGCACGCCCCUGUACACACCUCUGGACACGCC
Molecule: long non-coding RNA, 1154 nt
Organism: Ornithorhynchus anatinus (platypus)
Lineage: Eukaryota; Metazoa; Chordata; Mammalia; Monotremata; Ornithorhynchidae
Exons: 5
Source: RefSeq, a predicted model, not a curated record